UCCCUGAAGGACUAGUGGUUAGGCCAUGGCGCUCUCAUUGCUUGGGCCCGGGUUCGAUUCCCGGCCAGGGAA
Pangasianodon gigas (Mekong giant catfish) is the source of this 72-nucleotide non-coding RNA. NCBI's taxonomy places the organism in Eukaryota, Metazoa, Chordata, Actinopteri, Siluriformes, Pangasiidae. The record is from the annotation of a GenBank genome assembly.